RNAcentral lists this long non-coding RNA (628 nucleotides) under Homo sapiens (human). RNAcentral's name for it is "non-protein coding lnc-ASPSCR1-1:6". The record is from RNAcentral. Lineage: Eukaryota; Metazoa; Chordata; Mammalia; Primates; Hominidae.
AGACAGCCGUGAUCAGAGCCCCGGAAUAGCAGCUUGCGUGCCUGUCCCCAUCUUAGAGAGACAUCUGACCCCUGGUCCCCUGUGGAGCCCCUGCCGGGACCAUUAACCCAUUGGCUGCUGGCACCACCCCCACCUCCGCCUCCCGCGCACCUGCAUCUGUCAAUCCGGUCAGUUGGUUUCACGCUUGUGGGGGAGGGGGAGGGAGAAGGAGGGGAGCAAAGAGCAUGAGGGUCCCCACGGGGUAACCCCAGCUCCAGCAGCCUCCAGGGCCAGCUGUGCGGGGGAGGGGUGUAGGAGGCAGGAGGCGGCAGCCUGGGCUCCUGGGGCUCGCGGGGGUCGGGGAUGGUUUCCCCAACAUUUAUCUCACCCCUUCUGGAUGGCCGCGUGGUUCAGAGCCUGCAUGGGCUUCAGGAUCCUGCUGUCAUUGCCUGGGGUUCACAGGGUUCUGCUGCGGCCAGAGGAGCAGAGCAUGGAGACCGUGGCCUCUGCUCCCCGAGCCCCGCUCCCCACCCUCAUUCUGUCUCGUCCCUAACCUGCCUGGGGCAGAGACAUUUGACUGUUAGUUACUGUUACUGUUUGCAGGGGCCAUUCUGGGGCUUUUCACUUGUCCUUCACAUUAAACACCUAG